This 73-nucleotide transfer RNA is filed under the name Thermoplasmata archaeon. RNAcentral's name for it is "tRNA-Ala". It matches the Rfam family "tRNA". Rfam says of the family: Transfer RNA (tRNA) molecules are approximately 80 nucleotides in length. Their secondary structure includes four short double-helical elements and three loops (D, anti-codon, and T loops). Further hydrogen bonds mediate the characteristic L-shaped molecular structure. tRNAs have two regions of fundamental functional importance: the anti-codon, which is responsible for specific mRNA codon recognition, and the 3' end, to which the tRNAs corresponding amino acid is attached (by aminoacyl-tRNA synthetases). tRNAs cope with the degeneracy of the genetic code in two manners: having more than one tRNA (with a specific anti-codon) for a particular amino acid; and 'wobble' base-pairing, i.e. permitting non-standard base-pairing at the 3rd anti-codon position. Lineage: Archaea; Methanobacteriati; Thermoplasmatota; Thermoplasmata. The record is from RNAcentral. RNAcentral also lists the same sequence under 1 other name.
GGGUCCCUAGCUCAUCUGGGAGAGCGCUGGCCUUGCAAGCCGGAGGUGACGGGUUCGAGUCCCGUGGGAUCCA